This 301-nucleotide ribosomal RNA is filed under the name uncultured bacterium. Its description in RNAcentral is "partial 16S ribosomal RNA". It matches the Rfam family "Bacterial small subunit ribosomal RNA", at positions 509 to 807 of the family's 1533-position model. The record is from RNAcentral.
CAGCAGCCGCGGGAAUACGUAGGGUGCAAGCGUUAAUCGGAAUUACUGGGCGUAAAGCGUGCGCAGGCGGUUCGCUAAGACAGAUGUGAAAUCCCCGGGCUUAACCUGGGAACUGCAUUUGUGACUGGCGGGCUAGAGUAUGGCAGAGGGGGGUAGGAUUCCACGUGUAGCAGUGAAAUGCGUAGAGAUGUGGAGGAAUACCGAUGGCGAAGGCAGCCCCCUGGGCCAAUACUGACGCUCAUGCACGAAAGCGUGGGGAGCAAACAGGAUUAGAUACCCCGGUAGUCCCUGUCUCUUAUAC